AUUGUUUCAGUAAUUUGUUAACAUGUAUAAUCCUUCCUUCUCUUACUUACAGAAAGAGGUCAAGAUGCGGCAUAGCUUCCAACAGCAAUUAUGCGAUGCACUUGCAAUUCUUAAAGCACACUAUGCAGUAAGUUUUUAAAAUGUAUACUAAUGUGUGGUAACCUUCCAUGGAUACCAAAAUCAAUGGAUUCUCAAGUCCUAUUAGAUGCAAUGGCAUAGUAAAAUCUCAGGAAACUUGGUUAUCUUGAAAUACAACACUCAAAUUCAGACAUAACACAAGGUUCCAAAAUAAACCUCUUGUGAACAUCAACUGUUAUUGUUGUAUUGUGGUUUGAUUGAUUUGAAGCUCUUGGGGCAUCUCCUCAGUGUUUUUUUUUCUUUAACAGAAAUAUUAUCGUAUAGAGCAAGAAUUAUAUGGAGCAGAUGAUGAUUCAAUAGGCAAAAAGCUUGAGAGGUUAAGGGAUGAACUUGAUGAGCAAGCUAUUACAAUCCUAAGCUUGGAAGAAGAGCUGCAGGAGUAUAAAAACAAAGAUAAGUUUGCAGACAGAGACACUGAAAUACACUUGCUUCACCAAGAAAUUGCGGAAUUCAAAGACCAAAUGGCCAUCCUGAGUGCAAGAAACGCACGCCUUCAAGAUACUGUGAAACGCAGAGAGAAAGAAUUUGUUGAAUUAGAGAAUGAAAUGCUAUCUGUGCAAGAGAAAAAAGAAAAAGAUAUGAAGAUAAUUCAAAAGCUAGUGAACUCUCAAGAAUUAUUGAAGUUGGAGCUUGACAGGGAGAAGCAGCGAGUGCUAUCUAAAACUCGGGUAAGAUCCUGAUCACAAAUAUUGCACUGGUUAAACACACUGUUUGAUUGCCAUCACUUCAAGUACAGGGUUAUAAUGUGCUAUACAUUUACCUUCCUCUCAUCCUAUCAUGAAAAGUUAAAAAAUCAAUGAAUACAUUUUUUUCACUCCAAAAUUAUUUAUGAAAACAAGAGUGCUUAUAAGGCGUACAGACGAAGCCAUAUGGUUCAAAGUGUCAUUGCAAUUUGGUGAUAAUGACAGCUCUGGCUAGGGCACACGCAUAUAUGAAGGUUGAAAAAGUAGAUUCGCAUAGACUUUUAGUUUUAAAGAUAUAUUGAUGCAAUAUUUGUAAGUUUUCUGUACUGUGAACCCAUUGCUCCGGGGCUUAGUCUCCAGCAUGACAGAAAACUAGCCUUCUCUCUCUUCCUUAUGUAAUGCAGCUUAUCACUGUACAAGCAGGGGAAUAAAGAAGAAGUGGCCUGCUCAAGGCUAUCUAAUCAGUAACAGCCAUAACAUGGAACAAUUUAUAGUAAUAGAGUAUCCCAAUCAUACUUGCCACUGUAUGGACUUGAACAAAUAUUUUCUGGUUACCUUACGCAAACUGCAAAACUGGAGAAAUUGGACAACUUAUUUAUUAAUCAAUAUUUCAUUUUGAAGUCCCUUCCCAGCUUUCUUUCAGUCUGAUAAAAACCAUCUUUAGAGUAAAAUGUUUCAUAGGAUUGAUCAUUAUUGGCAUGCAUGUCUUUCUACAGGGUGCUUUGAUAAUUGAAAAAAAUUGCAUGAUGGAAAUAAUAUAAAUUAAUCACUACAUCAGAUCUAAUAAAAGAGGAAUCAGAAACAGAUCUACCAUGAACACUUUGACAAUUGGCCCUAGAUAUGCAUGAAGGAAAAAAACCUGCUCUUGUUUAAAGCCAUGCUUGAGCUAUAUCAUAACUAUAUUUCCCAUGUUUCAAGACUGAAUGCUUAUGCUAAAGGUGGUUCUGAGUUUGGCUCUCAAUUAGGUCUGGCAUUAACUGUUUGAGGCAACAAUAUGAAGCACAAAGAUCUUGUGUAAUGGCAACGUAAUGCAUAACGUUACUCUGUCACCCAAAAAGGAUUAAUGUCUUCCGAUGCCAGGACUUUUCCAUUUUCAGCAUUUUAUAAGUUACAGUUUUUUUCUCAUAAGAUAGUGAAUACACUUUUGUUUUGAUUUUGAAGGAAGUAAAGGAAGCACAAGAUAGUCUAG
This 2010-nucleotide long non-coding RNA is filed under the name Anolis carolinensis (green anole). Its description in RNAcentral is "lncRNA (ENSACAG00000041542.1)". The record is from RNAcentral. Lineage: Eukaryota; Metazoa; Chordata; Lepidosauria; Squamata; Anolidae.